CCCUUAGAUGUUCUGGGCCGCACGCGCGCUACACUGACGAAUGCAACGAGCUUAUAACCUUGGCCGAAAGGUCUGGGUAAUCUCCAAAUUUCGUCGUGAUGGGGAUAGAUUAUUGCAAUUAUUAAUCUUCAACGAGGAAUGCCUAGUAAGCGCAAGUCAUCAGCUUGCGUUGAUUACGUCCCUGCCCUUUGUACACACCGCCCGGCGCUCCUACCGAUUGAAUGGUCCGGUGAAGCGUUCGGACCGUGGCCUUUGGACGGUUCGCCGUCUGUUGGCUGCGGGAAGUUCGUUAAACCUUAUCAUUUAGAGGAAGGAGAAGUCGUAACA
RNAcentral lists this ribosomal RNA (327 nucleotides) under uncultured eukaryote. RNAcentral describes it as "partial 18S ribosomal RNA". It matches the Rfam family "Eukaryotic small subunit ribosomal RNA", at positions 1470 to 1796 of the family's 1831-position model. The record is from RNAcentral.